AAUUCUUUCUUCUGAGGAGGCAAGAACUGAGGUUGGUGCAGACCUGUAUGGAUUCACUGCCAGUAACUCGGACACCUUCCACCAGUAACAGGGCAUGUAGAGAAGCUGUGAAGGCGUUCCUCACCUGCCAUCGCGUGUCUGUGCAUCGGCUCCACACCUGGGCAUAAUUGAUGAACCGGAUUUGUCACAUUCAAUAGCCCCAGGAAAAGCUUUGUCCUGGAUGCCUGCAGGGCUCCAUGUCACAGGGAGGAGAGGAGCCAUUUCUACCCUGUCUCUCUGAUACUUCGGCAUCCAGGGUCUCACUGACCUUGGGGCCAAUUCCUGAGGAUAGUAAACAACUCACCCAGGAUGUGCCUUUCUUAUUCAAAGGAACUCAUCCAGCACCCG
This is a long non-coding RNA of Cercocebus atys (sooty mangabey), 387 nucleotides long. RefSeq lists it as uncharacterized. The transcript has 3 exons. NCBI's taxonomy places the organism in Eukaryota, Metazoa, Chordata, Mammalia, Primates, Cercopithecidae. The record is from RefSeq and is a predicted model, not a curated record.